CCUUGUUAUUUUCCAUUUAUUUUUAUUCUUGUAGUAUUGUGAUGUGAUUCCGGGUUAUAGCUGUAUGUUGUUUUUAUGAAUGAAGUUGUACAAUUCACGAAAGUUUUCACAGACAAAACUUUUGAGUACUGCAGGGCAGAUAAAAAUUUGUUGAUUUUCCGUAUUUGGCGUGUUGCAUAUUUCGCAUAGGUUGGAGUUUUCAGCAUUGAUGAGGGACAGGUGACAUGUUGAAUCCUGAAAACCAAUGACGGUUUGGUGGCUCUGGGAAGAAUUAUGUUGGUGGAUUAGCGAGCAUCUUUUAUCGAGAGGCCAGUUUGUAUGACUGAACCGACUUCAGCUGCAUGUUUGGCGAAAAAGUCUGCACGUUCAUUAGCAGCAAUGCCUAUAUGCGAGGGAAUCCAGAAGAUGGUGAUUUGUGUUAGACUUGAGUUGUUUACCUUUUGUAGAAUAUUGUUGGCCAGAUAGUUUUGGGUAUCAUUUUCUUUUAAGAUCAGGCAUGCAUUUUUACUAUCGGUAAGAAUGGUUGCUUUUCUGAUGUUGUCUUCUAUCAUUAUGUCUAUUGCCUUAUUGAUGGCGUGUAAUUCUCCCAUAAGUGAUGACAUUUUUUCCGAUAUUUUGAAUAAGAAGUUCAGUUUUU
Long non-coding RNA from Musca domestica (house fly), 637 nucleotides. RefSeq lists it as uncharacterized. The transcript is spliced from 4 exons. Lineage: Eukaryota; Metazoa; Arthropoda; Insecta; Diptera; Muscidae. The record is from RefSeq and is a predicted model, not a curated record.